Molecule: non-coding RNA, 1217 nt
Organism: Monodelphis domestica (gray short-tailed opossum)
Lineage: Eukaryota; Metazoa; Chordata; Mammalia; Didelphimorphia; Didelphidae
Source: RefSeq, a predicted model, not a curated record
UUUGUGACAUAUCAUCUAUUCCAUUACACUAUGAUUCUCAAAGGCAGGAAGCUGUUUAUUUAACUCUCAGCCUAAGAUCUCACAUACUGUAGGCACUUAAUAGAUGUUUAUGGAAUAAUGAUGUGAAUCUGUCAAUUAAUCUAUGUGAGGGCUAUAUGAGCUCCUAGAGAUACCAUGAAGGGUUAGGUCACAAUGUAAUUGAAUGGUCACAGAGUUUACUGCCUAAUAGAUGGAGAUGAAACAAAAAAAUAAUCCUGUGACCAUAAACCCUAGGGCAAUCUCUAUGAGAAUAGAGAGGGAAAGAUCACAAUGUUUACACAUUGCUCUUUUCAAUUAAGCCACAUUCAUUGACCAACAAUUUCAUUGAGGUCAUUGGGUAGAUUCACAGUAAGGUGUUGGAGGUAGGCUGAGGAAAUUUUUAGCUCCUUGAUUCACUUAUGAGACCUAUAGAGUAUGAUGAGAACAAAGGUAUAAACUCCCUGUAUUUUUGAAGAUACCCUCUCCACCCAUACUUUCUUCCUGGAGCUAAAGACAACGGAAUUCAACGAGAACUUUCCCUACAUCCUCUUAGGUUCCCAGUGAUUUUGAGUUUUAGAGGAGGAUUUUAUGGAAAGAUCUGUAAUUUGACUCAAUUUGCCUGAUGAUUCUCAGCUUCCACAAUUUCAUCUUCAUUUUCUUCUUCAAAGGCUCCAGAGAAAACUGCUUUGGAAACAAUCACAAUCAUCAGAAAAAGAUACAAGCCCAUGGGCCUAGAUAAUUACAGAGAAGACCAGAUUUCAGGCAACCAGAGCACAAGGAAUAGAGCGGAUGGGGUCACUUGGCUUUGAAGACUUCCUGUAUAUUUUUAAGCCGCCCAUGACAUCAUUUUUGCAGGACAGCUCAGAACAAUAGGCGGGGGCGGUAAGAAAAGCACCAAAUCCACAAAUUCAGAUGAACAGUGUAAGAGGGUGCAACAGAAACACAUCAACAAUCUGGACUUUUCUGACAUGACUGAGAGAAGAACAUUCGAGAUUUGUGAGCCUGGGCCCCAAGGUUUCAGUGAUGGUCAAAGUAGACACUCCACUCAGAGCCCUCAGCCUUUUUCCCUGUUUUUCAACUGAGCUGUGACCUCCUCUUUCAGUUACUGGGAAUAACAACAACAACCACACAGAGACAAUCAUGUGACCCCAAAUUGUCCACAUGGCCAAGUUCAAUAAAUUAGCAGCCAGAAAUUUUAA